AAUAAGCGGAGGAAAAGAAACCAACAGGGAUUCCCUUAGUAACGGCGAGUGAACCGGGAAAAGCUCAAAUUUGAAAUCUGCCAACAGGCCGAGUUGUAAUUUGUAGAUGGCUACACUGCAUAAUAGUAGAUGCUCAAGUUCUUUGGAAAAAGACAUCAUGGAGGGUGACAAUCCCGUGAGGCAUGUUACUAGGAGCAUAUAGUGGGCUUUCUAAGAGUCGAGUUGUUUGGGAAUGCAGCUCAAAGUGCGUGGUGAAUACCAUGUAAAGCUAAAUAUGGACGAGAGACCGAUAGCGAACAAGUACUGUGAAGGAAAGAUGAAAAGCACUCCGAAAGGAGAGUGAAAUAGUACGUGAAAUUGUUAAAGUGGAAGGGCUUGAGAUCAGAAUUGGUAGUUUGGGUUCCACGUCCUCUUGGGGGCGUGUACUCCCUUUCCACCGGGCCAGCGGGAGUUUCGUCUCUUGGGUAAAAGCAGUGGAAUGUAGCAGCUUGUCUGUAUUAUAGCCUCUGUUCAUACAAGACGUCGAGACUUGA
Molecule: ribosomal RNA, 533 nt
Filed under: Diutina pseudorugosa
Lineage: Eukaryota; Fungi; Ascomycota; Pichiomycetes; Serinales; Debaryomycetaceae
Description: eukaryotic LSU rRNA
Rfam family: Eukaryotic large subunit ribosomal RNA
Source: RNAcentral